This is a long non-coding RNA of Penaeus vannamei (Pacific white shrimp), 854 nucleotides long. RefSeq lists it as uncharacterized. Lineage: Eukaryota; Metazoa; Arthropoda; Malacostraca; Decapoda; Penaeidae. The record is from RefSeq and is a predicted model, not a curated record.
AAACAUGAUGAAAAUCGAAAAGGUUCCCUCUGCUGAGGUUGCUUACCCACAACACAACCAUGCUGUAGCUUUUUCUUCUGAGCAAUAUGGAAAUUUAUGAAGACAUAUGUUAUGUAAGUGUACCAAGUAGCUUUUGUAUUUUCAGAAAAAUAAGGAGAGAGAUUGUGAAAUGAAAUUCUUGUUUACUCUACGUGCAUUUGCCUAAAAUAUCAAAAAAUAAGGGAAAGAACAGAUGAAACAAACAUCUUAUUGGUUACUCUCCGUGCAUAUACCUAAAUUACCAAUUAUUGAAGUUGGUUAGUCUACGUGCUUAAGUUGAAAUUGUCAAAAAAUAAUGGAACGAACAGAUGAAAUGAAUUUCUUGUUCUACAUGCAUCUGCUUAAAUUGUCGGAAAAUCAGUGAGAUUUUCACACCAAAAACUUGCACAAGUGAAGGUUGUAUUUUAUCCAACUCUACAUGCAUUCUCCAAUCUCUGAUUUGACAGACUGAAUGGAGACGCGGUCGCCGCUCGCGGUCAAAGGGACACGGCAGUCGCCUUCAUCGGCAGGAGUGCAUGAUCGCCCUCCAUCGGGCUCAUCUAUGUCUCAGCCCUCGACCUUGACGAGACGCGGUCGCCGCUCGCGGUCAUCGAAGCCGAAAUUACUGCAUUAGUCCCAACAUGAGUGCUCAGACUCGGAGUCCCAACAUGAAGGCUACUGCGAAAGCAUCUGCCAAGGAUGUUUUCUUUGAUCAAGAACGAAAGUUAGAGGUUCGAAGGCGAUCAGAUACCGCCCUGGUUCUAAAAUUUGCCUGUACAUGCCUGUGUCGAGGCGUGGCUUACAGGUCAAAUAAAUAAAGUUGUUAUAUAAAAAUA